RNAcentral lists this ribosomal RNA (1435 nucleotides) under uncultured organism. Its description in RNAcentral is "SSU rRNA". It matches the Rfam family "Bacterial small subunit ribosomal RNA". The record is from RNAcentral.
CUUGAUGAACGCUAGCUACAGGCUUAACACAUGCAAGUCGAGGGGCAGCAUGGUCUUAGCUUGCUAAGGCCGAUGGCGACCGGCGCACGGGUGAGUAACACGUAUCCAACCUGCCGUCUACUCUUGGACAGCCUUCUGAAAGGAAGAUUAAUACAAGAUGGCAUCAUGAGUCCGCAUGUUCACAUGAUUAAAGGUAUUCCGGUAGACGAUGGGGAUGCGUUCCAUUAGAUAGUAGGCGGGGUAACGGCCCACCUAGUCUUCGAUGGAUAGGGGUUCUGAGAGGAAGGUCCCCCACAUUGGAACUGAGACACGGUCCAAACUCCUACGGGAGGCAGCAGUGAGGAAUAUUGGUCAAUGGGCGAGAGCCUGAACCAGCCAAGUAGCGUGAAGGAUGACUGCCCUAUGGGUUGUAAACUUCUUUUAUAAAGGAAUAAAGUCGGGUAUGGAUACCCGUUUGCAUGUACUUUAUGAAUAAGGAUCGGCUAACUCCGUGCCAGCAGCCGCGGUAAUACGGAGGAUCCGAGCGUUAUCCGGAUUUAUUGGGUUUAAAGGGAGCGUAGAUGGAUGUUUAAGUCAGUUGUGAAAGUUUGCGGCUCAACCGUAAAAUUGCAGUUGAUACUGGAUAUCUUGAGUGCAGUUGAGGCAGGCGGAAUUCGUGGUGUAGCGGUGAAAUGCUUAGAUAUCACGAAGAACUCCGAUUGCGAAGGCAGCCUGCUAAGCUGCAACUGACAUUGAGGCUCGAAAGUGUGGGUAUCAAACAGGAUUAGAUACCCUGGUAGUCCACACGGUAAACGAUGAAUACUCGCUGUUUGCGAUAUACUGCAAGCGGCCAAGCGAAAGCGUUAAGUAUUCCACCUGGGGAGUACGCCGGCAACGGUGAAACUCAAAGGAAUUGACGGGGGCCCGCACAAGCGGAGGAACAUGUGGUUUAAUUCGAUGAUACGCGAGGAACCUUACCCGGGCUUAAAUUGCAGAUGAAUUACGGUGAAAGCCGUAAGCCGCAAGGCAUCUGUGAAGGUGCUGCAUGGUUGUCGUCAGCUCGUGCCGUGAGGUGUCGGCUUAAGUGCCAUAACGAGCGCAACCCUUGUUGUCAGUUACUAACAGGUUCCGCUGAGGACUCUGACAAGACUGCCAUCGUAAGAUGUGAGGAAGGUGGGGAUGACGUCAAAUCAGCACGGCCCUUACGUCCGGGGCUACACACGUGUUACAAUGGGGGGUACAGAGGGCCGCUACCACGCGAGUGGAUGCCAAUCCCCAAAACCUCUCUCAGUUCGGACUGGAGUCUGCAACCCGACUCCACGAAGCUGGAUUCGCUAGUAAUCGCGCAUCAGCCACGGCGCGGUGAAUACGUUCCCGGGCCUUGUACACACCGCCCGUCAAGCCAUGGGAGCCGGGGGUACCUGAAGUGCGUAACCGCGAGGAGCGCCCUAGGGUA